CCUACGGGAGGCAGCAGUGGGGAAUAUUGGUCAAUGGGCGUAACCCUGAUCCAGCGACGCCGCGUGAGUGAAGAAGUAUUUCGGUAUGUUAAGCUCUAUCAGUAGGGAAGUAAAUGACGGUACCUGACUAAGUUUCCACGUCUCACUACGUUCCAGCAGCGGUGGUACUACGGAGGGGGCCAGCGUUAUCCGGAUUUACUGGGUGUAAAGGGAGCGUAGACGGUGCAGCAAGUCUGAUGUGAAAGGUCGGGGCCCAACCCCGGGACUGCAGUGGAAACUGUUGAACUGGAGUACAGGAGAGGUAAGCGGAAUUCGUGGUGUAGCGGUGAAAUGCGUAGAUAUUAGGAGGAACACCAGUGGCGAAGGCGGCUUACUGGACUGUAACUGACGUUGAGGCUCGAAAGCGUGGGGAGCAAACAGGAUUAGAUACCCCAGUAGUC
Molecule: ribosomal RNA, 440 nt
Filed under: uncultured bacterium
Lineage: Bacteria
Description: partial 16S ribosomal RNA
Rfam family: Bacterial small subunit ribosomal RNA
Source: RNAcentral